GCUACAGGCUUAACACAUGCAAGUCGAGGGGCAGCAUCAUCAAAGCUUGCUUUGAUGGAUGGCGACCGGCGCACGGGUGAGUAACACGUAUCCAACCUGCCGACAACACUGGGAUAGCCUUUCGAAAGAAAGAUUAAUACCGGAUGGCAUAGUUUUCCCGCAUGGGAUAAUUAUUAAAGAAUUUCGGUUGUCGAUGGGGAUGCGUUCCAUUAGGCAGUUGGCGGGGUAACGGCCCACCAAACCUACGAUGGAUAGGGGUUCUGAGAGGAAGGUCCCCCACAUUGGAACUGAGACACGGUCCAAACUCCUACGGGAGGCAGCAGUGAGGAAUAUUGGUCAAUGGACGAGAGUCUGAACCAGCCAAGUAGCGUGAAGGAUGACUGCCCUAUGGGUUGUAAACUUCUUUUAUACGGGAAUAAAGUGAGCCACGUGUGGCUUUUUGUAUGUACCGUAUGAAUAAGGAUCGGCUAACUCCGUGCCAGCAGCCGCGGUAAUACGGAGGAUUCGAGCGUUAUCCGGAUUUAUUGGGUUUAAAGGGAGCGUAAGCGGGUUGUUAAGUCAGUUGUGAAAGUUUGCGGCUCAACCGUAAAAUUGCAGUUGAUACUGGCGACCUUGAGUGCAACAGAGGUAGGCGGAAUUCGUGGUGUAGCGGAGAAAUGCUUAGAUAUCACGAAGAGCUCCGAUUGCGAAGGCAGCUUACUGGAUUGUAACUGACGCUGAUGCUCAAAAGUGUGGGUAUCAAACAGGAUUAGAUACCCUGGUAGUCCACACAGUAAAACGAUGAAUACUCGCUGUUUGGCGAUAUACAGUCAGCGGCCAAGCGAAAGCAUUAAGUAUUCCACCUGGGGAGUACGCCGGCAACGGUGAAACUCAAAGGAAUUGACGGGGGCCCGCACAAGCGGAGGAACAUGUGGUUUAAUUCGAUGAUACGCGAGGAACCUUACCCGGGCUUAAAUUGCAACUGACGGAACCGGAAACGGUUCUUUCUUCGGACAGUUGUGAAGGUGCUGCAUGGUUGUCGUCAGCUCGUGCCGUGAGGUGUCGGCUUAAGUGCCAUAACGAGCGCAACCCUUACGGGUAGUUACCAUCAGGUUAUGCUGGGGACUCUACCCGGACUGCCGUCGUAAGAUGUGAGGAAGGUGGGGAUGACGUCAAAUCAGCACGGCCCUUACGUCCGGGGCUACACACGUGUUACAAUGGGGGGUACAGAAGGCAGCUACACGGCGACGUGGUGCUAAUCCCAAAAGCCUCUCUCAGUUCGGAUUGGAGUCUGCAACCCGACUCCAUGAAGCUGGAUUCGCUAGUAAUCGCGCAUCAGCCACGGCGCGGUGAAUACGUUCCCGGGCCUUGUACACACCGCCCGUCAAGCCAUGAAAGCCGGGGGUACCUGAAGUACGUAACCGCGAGGAGCGUCCUAGGGUAAAACUGGUGAUUGGGGCUAAG
Molecule: ribosomal RNA, 1443 nt
Filed under: uncultured organism
Description: SSU rRNA
Rfam family: Bacterial small subunit ribosomal RNA
Source: RNAcentral